This is a long non-coding RNA of Exaiptasia diaphana, 1423 nucleotides long. RefSeq lists it as uncharacterized. NCBI's taxonomy places the organism in Eukaryota, Metazoa, Cnidaria, Anthozoa, Actiniaria, Aiptasiidae. The record is from RefSeq and is a predicted model, not a curated record. The transcript has 2 exons.
AUAGAAAAAGAGGCCAACUUGGUUGUGUAAGAAUGUUUCUACUAUUUAAGGUGAUUUAGUUGGUAAUGGGUGCAUCUUGUCUUCAGCCCCAGAGGCUGAAAAGAUUUGGUGUAAAAAUAAGACGCAACACGUGACUCAAACUCUUAUGUAACCGAAAAAAACUACAGUUGCAGCUCGAGAGAUCCGAUUUUAGAAAGGUAUGCUAUAAUCAGUAACCUGUUGUGGUGAAUGUUUGUUGUUUUGCAUUGUGCCACGAUGACACGUCUUUCAAACAUCCAAAGCACUCAUCGUGUUGACAUGGACACAUGACGUCAUCGACAUCGCCGUGGCAAAUUGAUGAUUGGUGGAUCGAUCGCCGGUCCUCUGUAAUAAAUAGCCAGAGCAAAACACAAACAGAACACUCUGACAGCGCGAGAAGACAGUUCACUUGUUAUUACUGAGAAUCGCUGACCAUAAACAAGGAUUGUAUUUUGGUGGAUUUUUUUUCUGAGAAAAUGGACUGCAAACAUGUUUCCUAUGAAGAUGGUGGCAGCGGCGAGAGCGCCGAUGAAUGGAAGCCACGACAACGCAGUGCUAGUACUUUAUCUGACCAGCUUCUAGAGGAAUAUGCAAAAACAGAAGAGAGCAAUGAAACGUUCAAGAAGAAAUACGACGAAGCGCACAAAAAUGUCUUCGGAUCGAAAUCCAACGAACAUUAUGAUCAUUCGCCGCUGAGCUUAAACGACAAGGUGAACGCGGCAAUCCAACAUGAACUUCAUGCUGUUCCAGAAAUCAAAUUCUUCUUGUGAAUUGUAAAUUAGUGAAGCAUACAAGGUGACAUUGAAUGCUAAAGAUAUGGACACUUGAACUUCAAGAUCAAAAAAGACAUUCAUCAGUACAGUAGAACAAGAUUUAAGAACGCUUCACUCAAAGGACAAUUAAAAUUUGACUGUAGAUAAGGCAUUGAGUAAAGAAGGCCGUAAAUUUUCUCUUAUUGAUGAAUGGCGUGUCAAAACUAGGAAAGACACUUUAAAUGGAACUUUAGGGUCGAACUACGAAUUGAAAGAUUUUUGUACAGAUGAUUUCUACUUAAAAGUAUUCAUACAAAUAACUUAUAAGGAGUUUAUAAAAACUAUGGUUUUGAAACCAAACAAACAACGUAUUUUGGUGAUUUUUCUGUUGUAGGAAUCGGUUCUUUUUCUAUUUUUUAGAAUAAGACUUACGGCUGUACUCAACUAUUUUAUGAAGAAAAUCUCUUUAAUUGAAGUUGUAGUAGAGUAAGAGAUGUUUUGCGUCAUACCAGUUGGAAGCUUACUCGACUUAAAGAUUUUGUACAAAGAUUAUAUUUGUAAAAUGGACUUGUAGUCAAUCAUAUUGUAUAUAAAUAAUGGCAUUUUUGUACUAUAGAGAAUUUCAAAUCGAAAUAUAUUCACAUAGCUGAGAA